AAAGAAAAGGAGUACCGGUGGCACCUUAGAGACUAACAAAUUUAUUAGAGCAUAAGCUUUCGCAGGUUCCCUCCCCACUCUGAACUCUAGGGUACAGACGUGGGGACCCACAUGAAAGACCCCCUAAGCUUAUUUCUACCAGCCUAGGUUAAAAACUCCCUAGGCACAAAUUCUCCAUUGUACCUUGGGUUUAAGUAACGCGGCGGCCACCACCAAGUGAUUUAACAAAGAACCAGGGAAAAGCACCACUUGGAGUUCCUCUUCCCGCAGUAAUCCCCCAAGC
Long non-coding RNA from Dermochelys coriacea (leatherback sea turtle), 283 nucleotides. RefSeq lists it as uncharacterized. NCBI's taxonomy places the organism in Eukaryota, Metazoa, Chordata, Testudines, Dermochelyidae. The record is from RefSeq and is a predicted model, not a curated record. The transcript has 3 exons.